Long non-coding RNA from Raphanus sativus (radish), 1010 nucleotides. RefSeq lists it as uncharacterized. Lineage: Eukaryota; Viridiplantae; Streptophyta; Magnoliopsida; Brassicales; Brassicaceae. The transcript has 2 exons. The record is from RefSeq and is a predicted model, not a curated record.
GAUGUUAAUAAUGCAAAGAAGAUCAAAGCUUAUAUGGAGAAAGUCUACACGGGUACGUACGCUCCUCCUUUCUUAAACUUUUUUAAAUAAGCAUAAACUGAUUUUGUAAAGUUGUUUUCACUACAAUGUUUUUAAAAAAACUUUCAAACUUGGGGGAAAAUUUCUAUAUUAUUUGGUUGAUAAUGAAAACUUAAUGUGUAAUUUGUGAAAAGUAUUAGGAGUUACAUCCGGUCAGUGAGUUAGAGAUUGUAUAUAUCUAACAUCCGGUUAGUGAUUGUAUAUUUCUUUUGUGUUGGCACUUAUGAGCAUCUAGUUCUUCGUAAUCAAUCUCAUAAUUAAGCAAUUUUCCCUCUUGUUUUUUUUUCUAAAACCAACAUCACAUUUGCUUUCUUGUUUUGUGUUUCUUACGUGCUUUUAUUAUGUUUUUGUUUCCUUUGAUCCUUUUGCUUGUUUUAACUUUCUUCUUGUGUUUGUUGCUUUUAUUGGAUAAGAGACAAAUCUACUAGUGGAAAAGCGAAUGAAGUUAAUAAUAUAAAGAGGAUUAAAGCUUAUAUGGACAAGGUUGAGCUAGAGAGCAUUCAAACAUAUGUGUUGAUAGUCUGUGUUGGAUGAGCAUCUCUCAUCCCCUCUGCUUCCGAGACCAUCAACCAUCUUCUUUAGCAAGAUAUUGUCACUACUGCUGCUGAGCCUAAACUUCCUCCUACACAUCCUAUCAGAUUGGGUUUGGCCUUGAACUUCUCUGUCCUCUCUACUACGAGAUCAUGAGCUCACCUGAAAGGUUUUAGAGAUUGUUUAGUUACUAAAAAAACCUUAGAAGACUCAAUAUAUUAUCUGACCUUGCGGUGGGUGAAUAAAUAGUGAAGUGUAGAAUGUAGAGUUCCUCUGUAAAAGUAUCAUUAUUGUGUAUGUUGUACUCUGUCUGCUUUGACCGUUUGUGUGUUUUGCAUCAUCCUGAUGCAUGUCUCAGACACUGUUUUUCUUGUUUGUAAUUUGAAACUCAUUACUGUCUU